This 1555-nucleotide long non-coding RNA is filed under the name Homo sapiens (human). RNAcentral's name for it is "HSALNT0212844". Lineage: Eukaryota; Metazoa; Chordata; Mammalia; Primates; Hominidae. The record is from RNAcentral.
GCAUGCCAGGGCCUGACCCUGAGGAGGUGGUUGGAUCCUGGGAACUUGGAAAACAAGAAAGGAGACUUCAAAGAGAAGAAACAGCCACAUGACAAGAAUGACCCAACUGAUGGACAAUAAGCUGCCGAAUGAGUUAACCUUGAUGAUCCGCCAGGUCCAAGACUUAUAAUUCUACAUGGCCUCUGUCUCCUCUUUGCAAGCUGAUCACGAUGCAGAAUGACUGACGCAGCACCCAUGAACUUCCAGAUCACAAGCAUGCUCUGUUCUCCUUCCUACCUGGGCUGGGGUGACAGUUGUACAGCUGUGCACCAUCUGAGUGCCACCAUCUAGUGAUAAGUCCAUGAGUGUGGAUACUAGGGGAAGACAUGGGUUGCAGAUUGGCCAGGUCUAAGGCGCUGACAAGAAACAUUACAAGAGCUUUAGAUUUAACUUUAAAAGCUUCUAUUCCUUUCAUUGUCAGACUGUGAAGCCCACAGCUGCACAUCAUCAGGCACCAACAUGCAGGGGGCCAUUUCCUUGUUUGCACAGGAAGCUCCUGCAUACUCUGUAUUGCUCUAGAGUCACACCACUGAGCCGGCCAAGGUCUCGACUCUGGCCCUGACACGUGGCUGGCUUUGACUUUGCUUUCUGAGUUCAGCUCAUUUCCUGGGUCAUCUCCCCAGUAAAGACAGCACUGCCUCAUCAAGGCAGGUGCUCAUCUGGUCAUGCUCAAAGUCCCUCGAUGCCCUAUGACUGGUCAGCGGUCUCAGGGGAUGAGAUGUGUGGGUGUCAGUUGGCUUCCUCGUGUCCCAGUGCUGUCCCCUUCACCUCUCUUUAUCCCACUUUCUAAUGUUCACCCUCUCUUCUCCAUUAGUAAACUCCCAAGACUUCUUUAAGGUCGACCUUAAACACCCUUCUCUGGGAUCCUUCCCAAAACCCCAGGCAGAACUCACUGCUUCUACCUCUACCCUUGGUCCGUGAUUUUAUUUCAUUGUAGAUUAUAGUUAAUUGCUUACCUAUCUUCCUUUCUUUUCUUUUCUUUUCUUUUUUUUUUUUUUUUUUGAGAUGGAGUUUCACUCUUGUCGCCCAGGCUGGAGUGCAAUGGCGAUCUUGGCUCGCUGCAACCUCCACCUCCCGGGCUCAAGCGAGUCUCCUGCCUCAGCCUCCCAACUAGCUGGGAUUACAGGCGCCCGCCACCACACCUGGCUAAUUUUUGUAUUUUUAGUAGAGAUGGGGUUUCACCACGUUGGCCAGGCUGGUCUCAAACUCCUGACCUCAGGUGAUCCACACGCCUUGGCCUCUUGAAGUGCUGGGAUUAAGGCAUGAGCCACCAUGCCUGGCCUCUUUCUCACUUAAAAAAUCCUUGGAGAAAAAAAAAGCCAUCUUUUACUAAUUCCCUGAGCCUUGUGUAAAUAUAAGUGUAAUAAGUAUUUUUCCUUAUGUCAUUUACAAAUUCAUUUAAAAAGAAAUACGGUGUAGGUGGAAAGCCCAAACUAGGGAAAUAUCUGGUUUCCAAGAGAUCAUAAGCUAUCCACGUCAAAACUUCUGGUAAAAUUGCCUGUGGAAAGAGAAAUUU